This 57-nucleotide transfer RNA is filed under the name Exallonyx sp. ZJUH_2016014. RNAcentral's name for it is "tRNA-Arg". Lineage: Eukaryota; Metazoa; Arthropoda; Insecta; Hymenoptera; Proctotrupidae. The record is from RNAcentral.
UGUGAAUAAAAAUUCAAUUUCGACUUGAAAAUUUGAUAAUAUUUAUAUUAUCCACAU